GGACUACACGGGUAUCUAAUCCUGUUUGAUCCCCUUGCUCUCGCGCCUCAGCGUCAGGUGUUAACUAGAGAACCGCUUUCGCCACCGGUGUUCUUCCACAUAUCUACGCAUUUCACCGCUACACGUGGAAUUCCGUUCUCUCCGUCAAUCCUCAAGAUUGGCAGUUUCAAAUGCAGCUCCGGAAUUGAGUCCCGGAAUUUCACAUCUGACUUACCUAUCCGCCUACGCGCCCUUUACGCCCAAUAAUUCCGAUUAAUGCUUGCACCCUCCGUAUUACCGCGGCUGCUGGCAC
Molecule: ribosomal RNA, 292 nt
Filed under: uncultured bacterium
Lineage: Bacteria
Description: partial 16S ribosomal RNA
Source: RNAcentral